GACGAACGCUGGCGGCAUGCCUAACACAUGCAAGUCGAACGAGACCUUCGGGUCUAUUGGCGCACGGGUGCGUAACGCGUGGGAAUCUGCCCUUGGGUUCGGUAUACCAGAUGGAAACGACUGCUAAUACCGGAUGAUGACGUAAGUCCAAAGAUUUAUCGCCCAAGGAUGGGCCCGCGUAGGAUUAGCUAGUUGGUGAGGUAAAGGCUCACCAAGGCGACGAUCCUUAGCUGGUCUGAGAGGAUGAUCAGCCACACUGGGACUGAGACACGGCCCAGACUCCUACGGGAGGCAGCAGUGGGGAAUAUUGGACAAUGGGCGAAAGACUGAUCCAGCAAUGCCGCGUGAGUGAUGAAGGCCUUAGGGUUGUAAAGCUCUUUUACCCGGGAGGAUAAUGACAGUACCGGGAGAAUAAGCGCCGGCUAACUCCGUG
This 433-nucleotide ribosomal RNA is filed under the name uncultured bacterium. RNAcentral's name for it is "partial 16S ribosomal RNA". It matches the Rfam family "Bacterial small subunit ribosomal RNA", at positions 28 to 507 of the family's 1533-position model. The record is from RNAcentral.